GCUCAGUAGGUAGAGCAACUGACUUGUAAUCAGUAGGUCACCAGUUCGAUUCCGGUAGUCGGCACCA
RNAcentral lists this transfer RNA (67 nucleotides) under Vibrio cholerae. Its description in RNAcentral is "tRNA-Thr". It matches the Rfam family "tRNA", at positions 10 to 71 of the family's 71-position model. Rfam says of the family: Transfer RNA (tRNA) molecules are approximately 80 nucleotides in length. Their secondary structure includes four short double-helical elements and three loops (D, anti-codon, and T loops). Lineage: Bacteria; Pseudomonadati; Pseudomonadota; Gammaproteobacteria; Vibrionales; Vibrionaceae. The record is from RNAcentral.